GUCACUUCCGGUUAACAUACCGGAUUGGUCGAAGAUAUUGAAAGACGAAUACAGGGAGAAUCGAAGGAGAGAGGUCGACGACGAUGACGAUGAUGACGUGGACGGCGAGGAUUAUUUCGAUGGAGGAGCGAGAGUUCCACCGCACGAGUUUUUGGCCAGACAGAUGGCGAGGACGAGGAUCGCAUCGUUCUCGGUGCAUGAAGGGGUAGGGAGGACUUUGAAAGGGAGGGAUCUGAGCAGGGUUAGAAAUGCAAUUUGGGAGAAAACUGGGUUUCAAGAUUAAAAAAAAAAAUCCACAAAUGAAGGGUUUUUUGUUUCCUUCCUUAUUUUAGAAAUAUCGGAAAAAUAACAGAAUUUAUAGAGAGAAAUUCAUCAGCACAGAUUUUCUAGAGAAAGUGACAGAUGGGUUUUUUAACUUUUUUUUUUAUUUUAAGAUUAAAGAACUUUUAUGCGUGUGAUAUGAUGUUAGUGUAGAGAUUGUAUGAGAAAUUUGCGUAGAAAAUCUCACUGUUAUUAUUAUUGUUUUAUCAAUAAAAUUGUAGAGAUUUUAUCAAUGAACUAAAUGAAGAUUAUUCAUUAAUUAGCUCUUA
This 590-nucleotide unclassified non-coding RNA is filed under the name Hevea brasiliensis (rubber tree). Lineage: Eukaryota; Viridiplantae; Streptophyta; Magnoliopsida; Malpighiales; Euphorbiaceae. The record is from RNAcentral.